AGCAGCGUGGCUUAGUGGAAAGAUCCUGGGCUUAGGAGUCAUAGGUUGUGGGUUCUAAUCCCACUUCUGCCA
RNAcentral lists this transfer RNA (72 nucleotides) under Ornithorhynchus anatinus (platypus). It matches the Rfam family "tRNA". Rfam says of the family: Transfer RNA (tRNA) molecules are approximately 80 nucleotides in length. The record is from Rfam by way of RNAcentral. Lineage: Eukaryota; Metazoa; Chordata; Mammalia; Monotremata; Ornithorhynchidae.